RNAcentral lists this ribosomal RNA (397 nucleotides) under uncultured bacterium. Its description in RNAcentral is "bacterial SSU rRNA". It matches the Rfam family "Bacterial small subunit ribosomal RNA", at positions 362 to 776 of the family's 1533-position model. The record is from RNAcentral.
UAUUGCACAAUGGGGGAAACCCUGAUGCAGCAACGCCGCGUGAGUGAAGAAGAACUUCGGUAUGUAAAGCUCUAUCAGCAGGGAAGAAAGUGACGGUACUUGACUAAGAAGCCCCGGCUAACUACGUGCCAGCAGCCGCGGUAAUACGUAGGGGGCAAGCGUUAUCCGGAUUUACUGGGUGUAAAGGGAGCGUAGACGGCACAGCAAGUCUGAAGUGAAAUCCCCGGGCUCAACCCGGGAACUGCUUUGGAAACUGUUGGGCUAGAGUGCUGGAGAGGCAAGCGGAAUUCCUAGUGUAGCGGUGAAAUGCGUAGAUAUUAGGAGGAACACCAGUGGCGAAGGCGGCUUGCUGGACAGUAACUGACGUUGAGGCUCGAAAGCGUGGGGAGCAAACAGG